Mauremys reevesii (Reeves's turtle) is the source of this 395-nucleotide long non-coding RNA. RefSeq lists it as uncharacterized. The record is from RefSeq and is a predicted model, not a curated record. The transcript has 5 exons. Lineage: Eukaryota; Metazoa; Chordata; Testudines; Geoemydidae.
GUUCACAGGAUGGCUGGAGUGGCUCGCGGGACGGCUGGUGGAGCGGAGCAACUGGCGGAAUGGCUCGUGGUGACGGCUGCAGCAGAACCACACGGAGAGGCAGGGCAGUUGGCCUCGGAAAUGACCAAGUCUGCUGUGGAACAAGUUGCACCGAUGGAAAGCACCUGUUACCUCUCCUCUACCCUAACUUGGCAGCUACAUGAGAGGUGGAGUAUAGGAGUCGACAGGAAAUCGACCACCGAUGCAUCAAUUGCCUCCUGUUGAUCCCCCGCUCACUUAUUAGACAUGUGUCUCUGCAGACUGGAGCCAGCUGCUCAUUUCCAAACCCAGGUUAAGCAGGAUGUUUCCAAAUUGACGCUAGCUAAAGAUGACCAAAUUCAGAUGGACUGGGAUCA